RNAcentral lists this ribosomal RNA (3048 nucleotides) under Triticum aestivum (bread wheat). Its description in RNAcentral is "partial small subunit ribosomal RNA". The record is from RNAcentral. Lineage: Eukaryota; Viridiplantae; Streptophyta; Magnoliopsida; Poales; Poaceae.
AUGGACUUAGGAGUGGAGGAUGCAAUACUGCAUUUUGGCUGCCUUCUGAAGGAAAGAGUUUUAUCUGUUUUGUGGAGCGGAACAAAUGUUUCCGUUGAGUUUGGAUUUGCUAUGAAGAGGAUUGACUUUUGCCUGAUCUACAACUCGAAGAAAUACAAACUUGAACUCUCCUACGAGAGCAUAUGGGAGAUCCAGCUUCAUCAUCCACCUGGGUUGCAAAAAAAGUUCCUUCUGAUUCAGGUUCAGGCUGCUCCAAAAAUUUACGAACAAAAUAUACGCCGUUCUGGUUCUAUGUACGAUGAUCCUUUAUUCAACUAUUUUAGGGAUGAUACAGAUGACCAGUGGACCAGAACAACUGAUUUCACUCCAUCAGCCAGCAUUGGGCAAUCAUCUAUCCUAUGUCUGGAGCUACCACAUAUUUGUUAUGUCCCAAACAUCAGAGAGUACUUUGUUUACUAUGAAGUACACAAUGAAGUCUUCCAUCUCCAGCGUGGAUAUUCAUAUUCAAGCAAUACUUGCUUUGUUCCACUUGUGAAAUCUCAUCAUUUCACUGAUGUCCCCUAUGAGAUACUCUUUAAGAUCAACCACUUGGUUCAGAAUGGGACACUUAGUGGGCCAACACUUGAUGACAACUUCUACCGUCUGGUCAGCCCAGGAUAUGAAUGCAUUGACCAUAUAAAGCGUGCACUUGAAAAGAUGUCAUACCUAAAAAAGACUUGUUUGAAUCCAACAAAGUGGUUAUCUGAACAAUACAAAAAAAUUCAGAUAUCACGCUACGUGUUAACAUCACCAAACAUAAGCCUGGAUGAUGAUGGGUUGGUAUAUGUCUAUAGGGUGCAAAUUACCCCUGCUAAAGUGUACUUUUAUGGUCCUGAGAUUAAUGUCUCGAAUCGUGUUGUACGGAAUUACGCUGCUGAUUUGGAUAACUUCCUUCGGGUUUCGUUUGUCGAUGAGGACUGUGAGAAGCUUCGUUCAACUGAUUUAUCACAACGCUCUGCUCCAGGAAAUAAUACAAGGGCUGCUCUUUAUAAUAGAGUUCUUUCGGUUCUUUCAAAUGGCAUCACUAUCGGUGACAAGCACUUCGAAUUUCUGGCUUUUUCUUCAAGCCAGCUCCGAGAUAACUCUGCAUGGAUGUUUGCUUCUCGGCCGGGGUUAUCUGCCAGUGACAUCAGGGAGUGGAUGGGGAACUUCCGUAAUAUUAGAAAUGUGGCAAAGUAUGCUGCAAGGCUUGGUCAGUCUUUUAGUUCCUCAACAGAAACUUUGAAAGUGCAUAGGCAUGAGGUGAAAGAAGCUCCAGAUGUAACAAACGGUACAAAGUAUGUAUUCUCGGAUGGAAUUGGAACCAUUUCAGUUGAUUUUGCAGAUGAAGUGUCUAAGAAGUGCAACUUGACCUGCUUUACUCCCUCCGCUUUCCAAAUAAGGUAUGGAGGUUACAAAGGUGUUGUCGCUGUUGAUCCAAAAUCACACUGGAAACUAUCUUUAAGAAAAAGCAUGUCAAAGUUUCAGUCAGAUAACAUCACACUAGAUGUUCUUGCAUACAGCAAGUACCAGCCAUGUUUCCUGAACCGGCAGUUAAUCACUCUUCUUUCGACACUCGGAGUCAGAGAUAGCAUAUUUGAACUGAAGCAACAAGAAGCUGUGAAGCAGUUGAACAGAAUGGUAGCUGAACCACAAGCUGCUAUUGAUGCAAUUGAGCUUAUGCCCAUGGGAGAAAUUACCAACAUUGUUAAAGAGUUGUUGUUAUGUGGUUACCGGCCUGAUGUUGAACCAUUUGUUUCUAUGCUUCUACAAACAUUUAGAGCAUCCAAGCUGCUAGAAUUGAAAACGAGGUCAAGGAUAUUUGUCCCAAAAGGACGAGCAAUGAUGGGAUGCCUGGAUGAAACCCGCACACUGAAGUACGGACAGGUAUUCAUUCAAGCUUCUAAUAGUGCAAAUGACCGUGGAAAGUCCAUCGUAACUGGAAAAGUUGUCGUUGCCAAAAACCCUUGCAUCCACCCUGGUGAUAUACGUAUUCUCCAGGCUGUUCAUAGUCCUCCUCUGGGCCACAUGGUUAACUGUGUUGUCUUUCCGCAGCUGGGGCCAAGACCUCAUCCUAAUGAAUGUUCAGGGAGUGAUCUUGAUGGGGACAUAUAUUUUGUUUCAUGGGACCCAGAUCUCAUUCCAACUCGUAUGGUGGCGCCUAUGGACUAUACUCCUGCACCAACAGAAACAUUAGAUCAUGAUGUUAUGAUUGAGGAAGUACAUGAGUAUUUCACAAAUUACAUAGUUAACGAGAGUCUGGGAAUCAUUGCCAACGCGCACGUAGUCUUUGCGGAUAGGGAAAGAUUGAAGGCUGAAAGUACACCAUGCAUUAAGCUGGCAGAGCUCUUCUCCAUUGCUGUUGAUUACCCAAAGACAGGAGUACCGGCUCAAAUUCCGCCUGAACUACAUGUGAAGGAGUAUCCAGAUUUUAUGGAGAAGCUCGACAAGGCUACCUAUGUAUCCGAGGGAAUAAUAGGGAAGCUCUACCGGGAAAUUAAGAAGCAGAACCCUCACAUUGGACACUUUACAGAGGAUGUGGCAAGGCGGUCUUAUGACACUGAUUUGAUAGUUCAUGGCUACCAAGACUACAGUACCGAAGCUGUGUGGUUCAAGGAAGAGUAUGACUUCAAGUUGGGUAAUCUGAUGGAGCACUACGGAAUAAAAAGCGAGGCUGAGAUAAUAAGUGGAUGCAUUCUUAAGAUGGCAAAGAAUUUUACCAAGAAGAGUGACGCCGAUGCUAUCAGUCUGGCGGUGAAAUCUUUGCGGAAGGAAGCAAGGUCAUGGUUCAGCGAGAUGGGUUCAGAUGAGAGCGGAGAUGGUCAUGAGGCCUCAGACGCCAAGGCAUCCGCUUGGUAUCAUGUUACCUAUCACCCAGAGUUCUGGGGUAGCUACAAUGAAGGGUAUGAUCACCGGCCACAUCUCAUCAGCUUUCCAUGGUGUGUCUAUGACAAGCUGAUUCUCAUCAAGCGGAAGAAGUUUCUGCUCGAUCGUGAGAACAGAAUGAGACGCAACACGAUAUUCGGCUGA